AUACAUGCAAGUCGAACGCUUCUUUUUCCACCGGAGCUUGCUCCACCGGAAAAAGAGGAGUGGCGAACGGGUGAGUAACACGUGGGUAACCUGCCCAUCAGAAGGGGAUAACACUUGGAAACAGGUGCUAAUACCGUAUAACAAUCAAAACCGCAUGGUUUUGAUUUGAAAGGCGCUUUCGGGUGUCGCUGAUGGAUGGACCCGCGGUGCAUUAGCUAGUUGGUGAGGUAACGGCUCACCAAGGCCACGAUGCAUAGCCGACCUGAGAGGGUGAUCGGCCACAUUGGGACUGAGACACGGCCCAAACUCCUACGGGAGGCAGCAGUAGGGAAUCUUCGGCAAUGGACGAAAGUCUGACCGAGCAACGCCGCGUGAGUGAAGAAGGUUUUCGGAUCGUAAAACUCUGUUGUUAGAGAAGAACAAGGAUGAGAGUAACUGUUCAUCCCUUGACGGUAUCUAACCAGAAAGCCACGGCUAACUACGUGCCAGCAGCCGCGGUAAUACGUAGGUGGCAAGCGUUGUCCGGAUUUAUUGGGCGUAAAGCGAGCGCAGGCGGUUUCUUAAGUCUGAUGUGAAAGCCCCCGGCUCAACCGGGGAGGGUCAUUGGAAACUGGGAGACUUGAGUGCAGAAGAGGAGAGUGGAAUUCCAUGUGUAGCGGUGAAAUGCGUAGAUAUAUGGAGGAACACCAGUGGCGAAG
RNAcentral lists this ribosomal RNA (698 nucleotides) under uncultured Bacilli bacterium. Its description in RNAcentral is "bacterial SSU rRNA". It matches the Rfam family "Bacterial small subunit ribosomal RNA", at positions 51 to 720 of the family's 1533-position model. Lineage: Bacteria; Bacillati; Bacillota; Bacilli. The record is from RNAcentral.